GGAAUCGUGGCCUAGCUGGUUAAGGCGCAGGUGUAUGUAUCCUGAAAUCGUGGGAUCGAAGCCCACCGAUUCCA
RNAcentral lists this transfer RNA (74 nucleotides) under Phaeoacremonium minimum UCRPA7. RNAcentral's name for it is "tRNA-His (ATG) (tRNA-His-ATG-2-1)". It matches the Rfam family "tRNA". Rfam says of the family: Transfer RNA (tRNA) molecules are approximately 80 nucleotides in length. Their secondary structure includes four short double-helical elements and three loops (D, anti-codon, and T loops). Further hydrogen bonds mediate the characteristic L-shaped molecular structure. tRNAs have two regions of fundamental functional importance: the anti-codon, which is responsible for specific mRNA codon recognition, and the 3' end, to which the tRNAs corresponding amino acid is attached (by aminoacyl-tRNA synthetases). tRNAs cope with the degeneracy of the genetic code in two manners: having more than one tRNA (with a specific anti-codon) for a particular amino acid; and 'wobble' base-pairing, i.e. permitting non-standard base-pairing at the 3rd anti-codon position. The record is from RNAcentral. Lineage: Eukaryota; Fungi; Ascomycota; Sordariomycetes; Togniniales; Togniniaceae.